CUUCACUGUUCAUGUGCUUUGUAUAAUAAUUGGUGGUCGAUGCUAAGUGCUAUAACAUAUGUGCUACUCCCAAUGCCUCUGCUGUUCUUUGCAGGGUCUAAUGGUUGUUCUGUAUUUUCUGAAUCUGAUAGCAGGUAAAUUGUUAUUAUUCAAGCAUUAAUUGAAAAAUAAUUUAAGAAGAAAAAAAGAUAAGAUUGUAUACCGAGCCAAGGUUAUUAAUCAUU
Arachis ipaensis is the source of this 224-nucleotide non-coding RNA. The record is from RefSeq and is a predicted model, not a curated record. NCBI's taxonomy places the organism in Eukaryota, Viridiplantae, Streptophyta, Magnoliopsida, Fabales, Fabaceae.